GUGUCAGCUGCCAGCAAUGCGCAAUCCAGGACUCCUGACCUGAGAAGCGCGCGGCGAACACUGACUAACUCUCCUGUACAAGUGGGCAGAAAGCCUCUAGAAGCUUUCGUUUGCCAUCUUCUCAUUUGUUAACGAGUAAUCGGAGGCAAUGUUCCCGGAGGCCGGAGAGCAUGUCUCCUCUGUCUUCCACAGCACAUGCAGUCUCCUCUUCUGCAAAAUGAAGCAGAUAAUAGUAACCACCUCACAGGGUUCUUAUGUGAAUAUCUUCAAAACGUUUGCUGCAUAUAGUGGAAGUUCUGGAGGCAAAGAGACCUGGAUUUGAAUCCUGACUCCUUUACCGUGUCUUGGGAAUCCAGCUGCUGCGCCAUGAGCAGCCCCAGGGGGAAGCCCACGUGGUGAGGACCUGAGGCCCCUUCCAGCAGCCGGGUGAAUGAGCUUGGAAGCAGACCCUCCAGUGCGCUGCAGCCUUCAGGUCUGUGUGGGCAAAAAAGAGCAGAGAAGCUUUCCCAGGAAUCUAAGUUUUCCACCAGGCAAUGGCAGAACCGGGAUUGAGCCUCCAUAUCCUAGAUUCAACGCUGACACUUCCAACCUCUCCAUCACAGAUACUCAAACCCCUCCUGUGCCAGGUACUUAACCAUCUCCAGCGACAAAGGCCUCUCUCCCUGCCCAGGCACCCUGGGCCAUGUUCUGAUGCUGGCAAUAUGAGAGUUUUAUCCUUUUUGUUGAACUCUUGGCCCACUGCUUCUGGUGCUUUUCUGAGCCUCUCCUGGCCCUUCCUCCACCGAAUAGCACCUGAGGGUGUGAACUGUGGCAACUGGUACAAUCUGGGACAAAGUCCACCAGGGAUUUCAAGGAGUGUUCUUUGCAUGCAAAACAUCACGAGGUUGCUGGGGCCGUGCUAAUUGGCUGCAUUUGAACUACAACAACAUUCAAACCCAACAAGAUAAUUAAAGCUGAAAAUGAUCAGCUGGGAUUAAAAGGAUUCAAAGGGUAAUUGCUUUAUAACAAGCUACGUUGCUCCAAGUAGCAGGAAGGAUUGACGAAACUGGAAUUAAUUAUAUUAGGCUACUUGUUUAUUUUUAUACAGUCUUUUAAAAUCAUUUGUAUUUGGCCAAUUUGUGUCUUUUCCCAAAUACUCGUGGGUUUGGUUAACUGCCGUGGAUUUAUCUGCCAACUGCAAUUAUUCCUGUUCUUGGAAACUACACAGGCACAAAAACAUACUCACCAUUUAUCAGUGUGAUAAAUCCUUUUAUUGCCUUUGUAAUAAUGAUGUCUAAAUUUGUAUGGUGCUUGUAACGUUUUCAAAAUGCCUUCACAUCUGUUAUCUCAGUUUGUCUUCACAACAACCUGAUGAGGUAGUUGAGGGCUGGAGUUCCCAUUUGGAGAUGAUAAAGGCAGAGAGAGGUGAGCCAUACAGCAGAAUAAUAAGAGAGCUCACACUAGAAUCCAGAGUGCCUACUGCUCACCUGGCGUGUUUGUUCUAUUGCACUAGAAAAAAGCAUUGUGUUUGCUAAUUAGGCAGGGCUGAACACUGCCGACAUGAAGUGAAAAAGCCAUUGUUGGGGUUCAAGCAGAAGGUGAAACUCAUCAAUAAAUUAGCCGUUUAAACCGAAAAAAGUGAAAGAGAUCAAUCAUUGGUCAGAUGGGAAAGGUGCUUCCUGAACUGGGGUUGUUGUAAUAAGGCUUGAAGAAUGAACUCUGGUUUAUCCCUGGUAGUCUUGGGCUUACUUUCUCUCUUCCCCUUCAUGGUUUUGUACCUGUCAAGUGACUAUUCCUCUGGAUACCUUAGUUUCCUGUUCUGUACAAUGGGACUAACAAUGACCUUCACUGGUGUAAUGGUUAGGGCCAAAUGAAACAUUGCAAGUACUAGAGCCAGACAAAGAAGAGAUACUCUGGCCCCUGGCAAUCUU
Long non-coding RNA from Lemur catta (Ring-tailed lemur), 1910 nucleotides. RefSeq lists it as uncharacterized. The record is from RefSeq and is a predicted model, not a curated record. Lineage: Eukaryota; Metazoa; Chordata; Mammalia; Primates; Lemuridae. The transcript is spliced from 7 exons.